RNAcentral lists this ribosomal RNA (467 nucleotides) under uncultured bacterium. RNAcentral's name for it is "partial 16S ribosomal RNA". It matches the Rfam family "Bacterial small subunit ribosomal RNA", at positions 28 to 507 of the family's 1533-position model. The record is from RNAcentral.
GAUGAACGCUGACAGAAUGCUUAACACAUGCCAGUCAACUUGAAUUUGGGUUUUUAACUUAGGUUUGGGUGGCGGACGGGUGAGUAACGCGUAAAGAACUUGCCUCACAGCUAGGGACAACAUUUGGAAACGAAUGCUAAUACCUAAUAUUAUGAUAAUAGGGCAUCCUAUAAUUAUGAAAGCUAUAAGCGCUGUGAGAGAGCUUUGCGUCCCAUUAGCUAGUUGGAGAGGUAACGGCUCACCAAGGCGAUGAUGGGUAGCCGGCCUGAGAGGGUGAUCGGCCAAAAGGGGACUGAGACACGGCCCUUACUCCUACGGGAGGCAGCAGUGGGGAAUAUUGGACAAUGGACCGAGAGUCUGAUCCAGCAAUUCUGUGUGCACGAUGAAGUUUUUCGGAAUGUAAAGUGCUUUCAGUUGGGAAGAAACAAAUGACGGUACCAACAGAAGAAGUGACGGCUAAAUACGUG